UGGAUCCAGACUUUGAUUAUGGCUCAGGAUGAACGCUAGCUACAGGCUUAACACAUGCAAGUCGAGGGGAAACGAUAUUGGAAGCUUGCUUCCGAUAGGCGUCGACCGGCGCACGGGUGAGUAACGCGUAUCCAACCUGCCCAUCACUUGGGGAUAACCUUGCGAAAGUAAGACUAAUACCCAAUGACGUCUCUAGAAGACAUCUGAAAGAGAUUAAAGAUUUAUCGGUGAUGGAUGGGGAUGCGUCUGAUUAGCUUGUUGGCGGGGUAACGGCCCACCAAGGCAACGAUCAGUAGGGGUUCUGAGAGGAAGGUCCCCCACAUUGGAACUGAGACACGGUCCAAACUCCUACGGGAGGCAGCAGUGAGGAAUAUUGGUCAAUGGACGAGAGUCUGAACCAGCCAAGUAGCGUGCAGGAUGACGGCCCUAUGGGUUGUAAACUGCUUUUAUAAGGGAAUAAAGUGAGUCUCGUGAGACUUUUUGCAUGUACCUUAUGAAUAAGGACCGGCUAAUUCCGUGCCAGCAGCCGCGGUAAUACGGAAGGUCCGGGCGUUAUCCGGAUGUAUUGGGUUUAAAGGGAGCGUAGGCCGGAGAUUAAGCGUGUUGUGAAAUGUAGACGCUCAACGUCUGCACUGCAGCGCGAACUGGUUUCCUUGAGUACGCACAAAGUGGGCGGAAUUCGUGGUGUAGCGGUGAAAUGCUUAGAUAUCACGAGGAACUCCGAUUGCGAAGGCAGCUCACUGGAGCGCAACUGACGCUGAAGCUCGAAAGUGCGGGUAUCGAACAGGAUUAGAUACCCUGGUAGUCCGCACGGUAAACGAUGGAUGCCCGCUGUUGGUCUGAAUAGGUCAGCGGCCAAGCGAAAGCAUUAAGCAUCCCACCUGGGGAGUACGCCGGCAACGGUGCAACUCAAAUGAAUUGACGGA
Molecule: ribosomal RNA, 926 nt
Filed under: uncultured Bacteroidota bacterium
Lineage: Bacteria; Pseudomonadati; Bacteroidota
Description: bacterial SSU rRNA
Rfam family: Bacterial small subunit ribosomal RNA
Source: RNAcentral